UACGGAGGGUGCGAGCGUUGUCCGGAAUCACUGGGCGUAAAGGGCGCGUAGGCGGCCUGAUAAGUAGGGGGUGAAAUCCUGCGGCUUAACCGCAGGGCUGCCUUCUAAACUGUCAGGCUAGAGCACAGUAGAGGCAGGUGGAAUUCCCGGUGUAGCGGUGGAAUGCGUAGAGAUCGGGAGGAAUACCAGUGGCGAAGGCGGCUUACUGGCUCAUUCCUGACGCUGAGGAGCGAAAGCGUGGGGAGCAAACGGG
This 253-nucleotide ribosomal RNA is filed under the name uncultured bacterium. RNAcentral's name for it is "partial 16S ribosomal RNA". It matches the Rfam family "Bacterial small subunit ribosomal RNA", at positions 524 to 776 of the family's 1533-position model. The record is from RNAcentral.